Lycium ferocissimum is the source of this 432-nucleotide long non-coding RNA. RefSeq lists it as uncharacterized. The transcript has 2 exons. NCBI's taxonomy places the organism in Eukaryota, Viridiplantae, Streptophyta, Magnoliopsida, Solanales, Solanaceae. The record is from RefSeq and is a predicted model, not a curated record.
UCAUACGCUUUAUAAUCCACUAAACAUCUCAAAACCAAGAAAAUUAGUAGAAAAACAAAAAAAGACAUACUAUAUCCACAACACUAAUAUGUAAUAAUGAAACAAAAAGAGAAGGGGAUAUAUGUUACAGGUUUUUGGUAGAAAUAGAAGAGGGAAGGACCCAAAAACUUUUGUCUUUUCGCCAACACCUCAUCCGCCAAUGGCCCUUUAUAUGCCUUUGGUUGGUACUCAAACGGUGGCAGUUCCGGUGGCGCCACCGUUUGCCCGGAAAAACGUCUCAACGUACCCUCGUAGGAUAACCACCCAUACUUUCCACAUCCACUUAGUAAUUUCCUCUGUAACGCCAUACUUGUUGAUCACAAAAACACACUAGCUAACACACACAUAUAUGUACACAGACACGUACUCAAAUAGUUUUAGUUUCCCUUUUUU